This 488-nucleotide ribosomal RNA is filed under the name Starmerella bacillaris. RNAcentral describes it as "partial large subunit ribosomal RNA". It matches the Rfam family "Eukaryotic large subunit ribosomal RNA", at positions 82 to 669 of the family's 3401-position model. Lineage: Eukaryota; Fungi; Ascomycota; Dipodascomycetes; Dipodascales; Trichomonascaceae. The record is from RNAcentral.
AGCAGUACGGCGAGUGAACAGGCAAGAGCUCAGAUUUGAAAGGCACUUUUGUGCCGUUGUAUUCUGAAGUUAGGGUCCUGAGAAACGAUGCUUAAGUCUUCUGGAAAGGAGCGCCAUGGAGGGUGAUAGCCCCGUCUAGCAUUGACCUCAUAUAGGAUCUUAACAUGGAGUCGAGUUGUUUGGGAAUGCAGCUCAAAUGGGUGGUAUGCUCCAUCUAAAGCUAAAUAUCUGCGAGAGACCGAUAGUAAACAAGUACUGUGAGGGAAAGAUGAAAAGAACUUUGAAAAGAGAGUGAAAAAGUACGUGAAAUUGUUGAAAUGGAAGGGUAGGCCGCUAACCAUGUAGAGCCGUGUUUGGGGGGAAGAUAAAUGCUGUAGAAUGUAGCUCCUCGGAGUAUUAUAGAUGCAGUUCAUAUUCCCACCCGAGCGCGAGGAUCUCAGGUUCUACUAAAUGGUGGUCUACCACCCGUCUUGAACCAAAGGGACCAA